CGACGCCCGUGACUGUAUCUGGACGCCGCGCCAGCAGCAGCUGGUGUGACGAUGAAUGUGUGACUCCACGGGGACACAGCAGACCGUCCAGCCUGGCUGAGGAAGCUUCACUCUCACCUGUACGACAAGAGAAAAGCUGGACACGCUGCAAAGUUAAAGCUUUCUGAGCCCAUCUGAGAGCCUGAAGUCUGGAGCCAGGCCCCGAGGCAGGACCCAAGAAAGCCUGGAGAAAACAGGCCGUUCAUCGGAUCAAGCAGACACGGUGUCUCCAAGACCGCAGGGAGCAUCCGGUUAGAGGGGAC
RNAcentral lists this long non-coding RNA (302 nucleotides) under Ursus maritimus (polar bear). RNAcentral describes it as "lncRNA (ENSUMAG00000025409.1)". Lineage: Eukaryota; Metazoa; Chordata; Mammalia; Carnivora; Ursidae. The record is from RNAcentral.